Non-coding RNA from Chaetomidium leptoderma, 85 nucleotides. Lineage: Eukaryota; Fungi; Ascomycota; Sordariomycetes; Sordariales; Chaetomiaceae. The record is from the annotation of a GenBank genome assembly.
GGGGGUAUGGUCUAGUGGUAUGAUUUCUGUUUUGCAUUCAAAUUUGCCCUACAGAAGGUCCCGCGUUCGAUCCGCGGUGCUUCCA